AGGACGAACGCUGGCGGCGUGCUUAACACAUGCAAGUCGAACGAGGUCCAAGGUGUCGCAAGACACUGGAAGACCGAGUGGCGAACGGGUGCGUAACACGUGAGAAACCUGUCCCGAUCUCUGGAAUAACAGUUGGAAACAGCUGCUAAUACCGGAUGUCGUCAGACCAUCGCAUGGUGGACUGACGAAAGGGUUACCGGAACGGGAGGUCUCGCGGCCUAUCAGCUUGUGGUGAGGUAUGGCUCACCAAGGCAUCGACGGGUAGCCGUGUGAGAGGAGUGAGUCAGCCACACGUGGACGUGAGACGACCGG
RNAcentral lists this ribosomal RNA (312 nucleotides) under uncultured soil bacterium. RNAcentral's name for it is "bacterial SSU rRNA". It matches the Rfam family "Bacterial small subunit ribosomal RNA", at positions 26 to 333 of the family's 1533-position model. The record is from RNAcentral.